This 468-nucleotide ribosomal RNA is filed under the name uncultured bacterium. RNAcentral's name for it is "partial 16S ribosomal RNA". It matches the Rfam family "Bacterial small subunit ribosomal RNA", at positions 28 to 507 of the family's 1533-position model. The record is from RNAcentral.
GACGAACGCUGGCGGCGUGCUUAACACAUGCAAGUCGAACGGAAAGGCCCUGCUUUUGUGGGGUGCUCGAGUGGCGAACGGGUGAGUAACACGUGAGUAACCUGCCCUUGACUUUGGGAUAACUUCAGGAAACUGGGGCUAAUACCGGAUAGGGGCUCCUGCUGCAUGGUGGGGGUUGGAAAGUUUCGGCGGUUGGGGAUGGACUCGCGGCUUAUCAGCUUGUUGGUGGGGUAGUGGCUUACCAAGGCUUUGACGGGUAGCCGGCCUGAGAGGGUGACCGGCCACAUUGGGACUGAGAUACGGCCCAGACUCCUACGGGAGGCAGCAGUGGGGAAUAUUGCACAAUGGGCGGAAGCCUGAUGCAGCAACGCCGCGUGCGGGAUGACGGCCUUCGGGUUGUAAACCGCUUUCGCCUGUGACGAAGCGUGAGUGACAGUAAUGGGUAAAGAAGCACCGGCUAACUACGUG